RNAcentral lists this ribosomal RNA (252 nucleotides) under uncultured bacterium. RNAcentral describes it as "partial 16S ribosomal RNA". It matches the Rfam family "Bacterial small subunit ribosomal RNA", at positions 524 to 776 of the family's 1533-position model. The record is from RNAcentral.
UACGUAGGGGGCUAGCGUUAUCCGGAAUUACUGGGCGUAAAGGGUGCGUAGGUGGUUUCUUAAGUCAGAGGUGAAAGGCUACGGCUCAACCGUAGUAAGCCUUUGAAACUGGGAAACUUGAGUGCAGGAGAGGAGAGUGGAAUUCCUAGUGUAGCGGUGAAAUGCGUAGAUAUCAGGAGGAACACCAGUUGCGAAGGCGGCUCUCUGGACUGUAACUGACACUGAGGCACGAAAGCGUGGGGAGCAAACAGG